This 206-nucleotide ribosomal RNA is filed under the name uncultured bacterium. Its description in RNAcentral is "partial 16S ribosomal RNA". It matches the Rfam family "Bacterial small subunit ribosomal RNA", at positions 1297 to 1500 of the family's 1533-position model. The record is from RNAcentral.
AUUGUAGGCUGAAACUCGCCUACAUGAAGCUGGAGUUGCUAGUAAUCGCGAAUCAGCAUGUCGCGGUGAAUACGUUCCCGGGCCUUGUACACACCGCCCGUCACACCAUGAGAGUUGGCAAUACCCAACGUACGUGAUCUAACCCGCAAGGGAGGAAGCGUCCUAAGGUAGGGUCAGCGAUUGGGGUGAAGUCGUAACAAGGUAUC